AUGGCAGCUUCAUUCCUUGGUUCGCGGCAAAAGUAUGGCAAGAAGGGUGGUCGGUUAUAUGUUGGCGACGGUGCCGCCCGUAAGAAGGACAUCCCAAAACUCUCUCACCUCCGUGCUACCACGUCGAGCUCAGGUCCUGCUAUAGAGCGUCGCCCACACCCUGGGCUGCACAUGCUCCAUCAACUUGAGGCCAAUGCCAGGCUUCGAGAGGAGGAAGCCAUGAAAAUGCAGCAGGCCCUGUUUCAACAGCAAGAAUUCAUGGUUAAACAACAGGCAAUCCUGCAGGAGACAUUUGCUCAACUCAGAAAUAAUAUGCAGGGUUCCACUUUGCCCGUUCUUCCUCCUCUUCCGACUCUUCCUAAUUUCAACUUUUUUUCUCAGUCGGGACAAGGCUUCAAUAACUGUGUGGUAGGUGGAUCUUCACCUGGCCAAGCAAGUCCGGUGACACCCACUACGGUUCAUGUCGCUUCGACCUCCCCGCAACAAUGA
RNAcentral lists this ribosomal RNA (489 nucleotides) under Triticum aestivum (bread wheat). RNAcentral describes it as "partial small subunit ribosomal RNA". The record is from RNAcentral. Lineage: Eukaryota; Viridiplantae; Streptophyta; Magnoliopsida; Poales; Poaceae.